This 440-nucleotide ribosomal RNA is filed under the name uncultured bacterium. Its description in RNAcentral is "partial 16S ribosomal RNA". It matches the Rfam family "Bacterial small subunit ribosomal RNA", at positions 338 to 795 of the family's 1533-position model. The record is from RNAcentral.
CCUACGGGAGGCAGCAGUGGGGGAUAUUGCACAAUGGGGGAAACCCUGAUGCAGCGACGCCGCGUGUGGGAAGACGGUCCUCUGGAUUGUAAACCACUGUCGCCAGGGACGAAAAUGACGGUACCUGGGGAGGAAGCUCCGGCUAACUACGUGCCAGCAGCCGCGGUAAUACGUAGGGAGCAAGCGUUGUCCGGAUUUACUGGGUGUAAAGGGAGCGUAGGCGGGAUGGCAAGUUGGGUGUUAAAUCUCGCGGCUCAACUGGGAGUCGCACUUGAAACUGCUAUUCUUGAGUGAAGUAGAGGCAGGCGGAAUUCCUAGUGUAGCGGUGAAAUGCGUAGAUAUUAGGAGGAACACCAGUGGCGAAGGCGGCCUGCUGGGCUUUUACUGACGCUGAGGCUCGAAAGCGUGGGGAGCAAACAGGAUUAGAUACCCCGGUAGUC